Long non-coding RNA from Cervus elaphus (red deer), 2739 nucleotides. RefSeq lists it as uncharacterized. The record is from RefSeq and is a predicted model, not a curated record. The transcript has 3 exons. Lineage: Eukaryota; Metazoa; Chordata; Mammalia; Artiodactyla; Cervidae.
CCCACGCCUCCCCCGCCCCGUCAGACGGUCGCGCGCGCCUCCCACGGGAUGUGGAUCCCGGCGCCUGUCACUACAAGUUUGGGACCCGGGGCCCCAAGCUGAGCCUCUGCCAGUUUUCUUCCGAAGUUAGGUCAACGUCUUACUUGGCAGCUCUGCCACAGAUGCUGGAGAUACAAAAAGAAGCAAAGAAGAAGUGGUUGGCGUGGAGAUGAUAUUCCAGUGGAGGAAGACUUGGCUGUGGAGAUGGCACUUUCCAAAGACGAUCACAUAGACUGUUACCUCUUCCUCAUCAAAAGGAACAACUUUGACUGCUGUUACCGUUUAUUUUUUCAUACCAAAGCCUCUUCAUUCAUGUUUCUGAAACGUGACCACGAGAAGUGCCUGGUUGUGGACCUUUUUUCAUUUAGUCAAGUUAGCUCUGGAGGAUGCUUUCCAUUGGAAGAGGGGUGUCUUCAGGCACCUCUGUUAAUUAACUCAGGCCCUCGUUUCAAGUUUGAACAGACAACAUUUUGCGGAUGUUUCUGCAAAAUCAACAGCAAAAUUAAGAAGGGCCAAGAUGAACAAACAAGGGGAAAAAAAUCCAGAUAUAUUUCAGGGAACUGAAAGUGCUGACUGGUCCCCUCUCAGGCCAUGUGCCUACUGAAACCCCAAGUGAAUGCUGGUCAGAGAUCAUCCUUCUUUUCUCUCUCCCACUCCUGCCCUCCCUCCCCUGGAUGAUUUUUUGGUCUCUACCUCUCUUUUUGGACCUUGAGUUGGCCUCCCCCACCUCCCCCUUCAGCUGAUUACCUUGACUUACCCGAGAAUUAGAAGAUUUAGAUGAAAAUUCUCAGAAAUUCCCACCACCCAAACUACCCAGUUACCUGAACCAUUGCCUACACAUUCUGUCUUCCUUCCUAUUGUAUGUGGAGUAACUGUCCCUACUCUUAGGUAAGCCCAGCUCCUUCCCCUUGCUGUAUAGGUAACCUUGAAAAUCUUGUCUACACUUGUUGCCCCCAUUUCUUUAUCUCCCAUCCUCUCUCUAUCACAGUUUUGCCCCCAUCAUUCUACCUAAACAAAUCUUGUCUUCAAGACUCAGUCCCUGAGCUUCUGUGUUUAAUUUACACUCUUCAUGAACUUUUAUUUUUUUGGAGGCCAUCCGUAGACAAUAUACAAUAUUUACACCCCUAACUUCUCUCCUCUGAUCGCUAGAUGUGUGUAUUUAAAUGCCCAUCUAACAUCUCCUUUUGGAUGUCACAUAGACACCUCAUGCUUAGUAAGUCCAAAAUUGAGCUCCUGAUUCCCAUCCCCCCUCCAAAUGGCUCCUCCCAUAGUCUCCCUCCUUCCCCAGUAAAUGAUAAUUCAGAUCCUCUAGUAUUCCAAGGACACAAGAAUCCUCUUUUCCUCACAUGAUAGAUCUCAUACAUUCUAUAUUAUAUACCCAUUACCUAUCCAGAGUAUGACGUCUAAUAAUCACCUCCUCCUGGCUCUUGCUAUGUUUAUUUCACACCUGGGCUUGCUGGAAUAACCUCCUAACUAGAAUAUCUGGCUUUCUUGGUACUUUCCCAGUUUUUGGCUUUCAGUUUUUGCAUUGAAAGUCCUGUCUCAGGAAGUUCCCCAGCCCUGGGGUAAACCAGGAUAGUUUUUCACCCUGCUUCUACCUAGGCUGUUUCUCCCACGGCCUCCCCACAGUGUAUUCCCAGUGGAUCCAGGGUGAUCCUUUGGAAAGGCAAAGUUUAUCACGUGACGUCUCUGCUCAGAACCCUUCAGUGGCUCUUCAUACUAUUCAGAAAAGCUAUUGCUUUCAAUGGCCUAUUGUUGGCAGGGUCCACCGGCUUUUGUGAACAGAAAUGGAGAGUUGAUUUUGAGCAGGCUGAUGUUGAGGUACCUAUGAAAUGCUCAAUUAACAAGGUCCAGCACUGAUGGAAGGAUUGAGAGCAUAUUUUGUUGGUAAAACAAGAACAGAUGGUUAUAGAAAAAGUUGCAGAAAAGAAUUCUAGGAAAUUACAAAUAUUAGUUAAAUUGAAAAAAAAUCUAUAAUAGGACUGAGAGAGAAAAUUGCAGAAUCUCUCUCUGGGGAUACUCAUGAUAAAUAAAAUUUGUUUAUAUAUUAUUUAAAAUAUAAAAAAUAUAUAAAUAUGUAUUUGAAGCAGUUGUUCCAAACUCCCCAGAUCUUCUUUGUGUGUCUUUCCAAACCAAGGACAGUCCUCUGCAUAGCCAGCAUACAACCCUCCGGACCAGGAAAUCAGAAGUCAGCAUUGGUGUGACACUGAUAUCUGACCCAAAUGUUUCAGUCAAAUUUCACAAAUUAUCCCAACAAAGUCUCUUUUCUGUUUGGCCCGGGAUCACACUUUGCAUUUAAUAAUUGUGUCUCUUUAGUCUCCUUCAACCUGGAACAGAUGCUUAGUCUUUCCCUGUGUUCACAACUUUAUAGUUUGAAGGAGUACAAGCUUUUCAUUCUGUAGGCUAGAGCUCAGCCUGGUUUCAUCAGUGUUUCCUCAGGAUGGGACUCAGACCUGUGUCCUUGGGAGAAAUAUACAGAGAUGACGCUGUCCUGUCCUCACUGCAUGGCGUCAGAAGGCUCAGGACGCUGGCCGGUCAUACUGCUGGUAAUGUUAAUCUCGACCUCUCGGUCAGUUUGGCGUGUUCAGAUUUCUCCAUGUUAAGUCAUUAUUUUCCUCUUCAUAAUUAAUAAUUAUUUUGUAGAAAGGUGCUCUCAAACUAUGACAAUAUCCUGCAUUUCAUUAAAAACCAUUCAUUUGA